This 752-nucleotide ribosomal RNA is filed under the name uncultured archaeon. Its description in RNAcentral is "bacterial SSU rRNA". It matches the Rfam family "Archaeal small subunit ribosomal RNA", at positions 153 to 912 of the family's 1478-position model. The record is from RNAcentral.
CGGAUAGGCUAUCAAUGCUGGAAUGCUUGGUAGCCGAAAGCUCCGGCGCCUAAGGAUAGGUCUGCGGCCCAUUAGGUAGUUGUUAAUGUAACGGAUUAACAAGCCUACGAUGGGUACGGGUUGUGAGAGCAAUAGCCCGGAGAUGGACUCUGAGAAAAGAGUCCAGGCCCUACGGGGUGCAUCAGGCGCGAAAACUUUACAAUGUGCGAAAGCACGAUAAGGGAACUCCAAGUGCCUCUUAAAGAGGCUGUUUAGGUGUCUAAAAAGCACCUAAAGGAAGGGCUGGGUAAGACCGGUGCCAGCCGCCGCGGUAACACCGGCAGCCCGAGUGGUAGCCACUUUUAUUGGGUCUAAAGCGUCCGUAGCUGGCCUUGCAAGUCCCUUGGGAAAUCUGGCCGCUUAACGGUCAGGCUUCUAGGGAUACUGCUAGGCUUGGGACCGGGAGAGGUCAGAGGUACUCCAGGGGUAGGGGUGAAAUCCUUUAAUCCCUGGGGGACCACCUGUGGCGAAGGCGUCUGACCAGAACGGGUCCGACGGUGAGGGACGAAAGCUAGGGGCGCGAACCGGAUUAGAUACCCGAGUAGUCCUAGCCGUAAACGAUGCGGGCUAGAUAUUGGUACUACUGCGUGUGGUACCAGUGUCGAAGGGAAGCCGUUAAGCCCGCCAUCUGGGAAGUACGGUCGCAAGGCUGAAACUUAAAGGAAUUGGCGGGGGAGCACCAUAACGGGUGGAGCCUGCGGUUUAAUUGGAUC